This 78-nucleotide microRNA precursor is filed under the name Trichobilharzia regenti. Its description in RNAcentral is "mir-3492 microRNA precursor family". It matches the Rfam family "mir-3492 microRNA precursor family". Lineage: Eukaryota; Metazoa; Platyhelminthes; Trematoda; Strigeidida; Schistosomatidae. The record is from Rfam by way of RNAcentral.
AGCCUUUUGUAUUUGUACUGAGAUUUCUUCAACCAUCAGUCCAGUGGGGUUGAUAAAACUUUCAAAAUAAGUAAAGUG